This 433-nucleotide ribosomal RNA is filed under the name uncultured bacterium. Its description in RNAcentral is "partial 16S ribosomal RNA". It matches the Rfam family "Bacterial small subunit ribosomal RNA", at positions 29 to 507 of the family's 1533-position model. The record is from RNAcentral.
AACGAACGCUGGCGGCAUGCCUAACACAUGCAAGUCGAACGAGACCUUCGGGUCUAGUGGCGCACGUGUGCGUAACGCGUGGGAACCUGCCCUUAGGUACCGAAUAACUCCCCGAAAGGGGAGCUCAUACAGGAGAAUGUCUUCGGACAAAGGAUUUCUCGCCUUUGGAUGGGCGCGGAAUGGAUUAGCUAGUUGGUAGGGUAAAAGCCUGCCAAGGCGACGAUCCAUAGCUGGUCUGAGAGAAUGAACAGCCACACUGGGACUGAGACACGGACCAGACUCGUACGGGAGGCAGCAGAGUGUAAUAUAGGAGACUGGGCCACAGCCUGAUACAGCAAUGCUGCGUAAGUUAAGAAGCCCUUAGAGAUGUAAAGCUCUUUUAGCCGAGAUGAUAAUGACGGUAGCGGGAAAAUAAGCACCGGCUAACUCCGUG